AACGAACGCUGGCGGCAUGCCUAACACAUGCAAGUCGAACGAGAUCUUCGGGUCUAGUGGCGCACGGGUGCGUAACGCGUGGGAAUCUGCCCUUUGGUUCGGAAUAACAGUUGGAAACGACUGCUAAUACCGGAUGAUGACGAAAGUCCAAAGAUUUAUCGCCAGAGGAUGAGCCCGCGUAGGACUAGCUAGUUGGUGUGGUAAAGGCGCACCAAGGCGACGAUCCUUAGCUGGUCUGAGAGGAUGAUCAGCCACACUGGGACUGAGACACGGCCCAGACUCCUACGGGAGGCAGCAGUGGGUAAUAUUGGACAAUGGGCGAAAGCCUGAUCCAGCAAUGCCGAGUGAGUGAUGAAGGCCCUAGGGUUGUAAAGCUCUUUUACCCGGGAUGAUAAGGACAGUACCGGGAGAAUAAGCCCCGGCUAACUCCGUGCCAGCCGCCGCAGUAA
This 449-nucleotide ribosomal RNA is filed under the name uncultured bacterium. RNAcentral describes it as "partial 16S ribosomal RNA". It matches the Rfam family "Bacterial small subunit ribosomal RNA", at positions 29 to 523 of the family's 1533-position model. The record is from RNAcentral.